This 457-nucleotide ribosomal RNA is filed under the name Escherichia coli. RNAcentral's name for it is "bacterial SSU rRNA". It matches the Rfam family "Bacterial small subunit ribosomal RNA", at positions 161 to 613 of the family's 1533-position model. Lineage: Bacteria; Pseudomonadati; Pseudomonadota; Gammaproteobacteria; Enterobacterales; Enterobacteriaceae. The record is from RNAcentral.
AGCUAAUACCGCAUAACGUCGCAAGACCAAAGAGGGGGACCUUCGGGCCUCUUGCCAUCGGAUGUGCCCAGAUGGGAUUAGCUAGUAGGUGGGGUAACGGCUCACCUAGGCGACGAUCCCUAGCUGGUCUGAGAGGAUGACCAGCCACACUGGAACUGAGACACGGUCCAGACUCCUACGGGAGGCAGCAGUGGGGAAUAUUGCACAAUGGGCGCAAGCCUGAUGCAGCCAUGCCGCGUGUAUGAAGAAGGCCUUCGGGUUGUAAAGUACUUUCAGCGGGGAGGAAGGGAGUAAAGUUAAUACCUUUGCUCAUUGACGUUACCCGCAGAAGAAGCACCGGCUAACUCCGUGCCAGCAGCCGCGGUAAUACGGAGGGUGCAAGCGUUAAUCGGAAUUACUGGGCGUAAAGCGCACGCAGGCGGUUUGUUAAGUCAGAUGUGAAAUCCCCGGGCUCAAC